GACGAACGCUGGCGGCGUGCCUAAUACAUGCAAGUAGAACGCACAGGAUGCACCGUAGUUUACUACACCGUAUUCUGUGAGUUGCGAACGGGUGAGUAACGCGUAGGUAACCUGCCUGGUAGCGGGGGAUAACUAUUGGAAACGAUAGCUAAUACCGCAUAAGAACAUUUACUGCAUGGUAGAUGUUUAAAAGGUGCAAAUGCAUCACUACCAGAUGGACCUGCGUUGUAUUAGCUAGUAGGUGAGGUAACGGCUCACCUAGGCGACGAUACAUAGCCGACCUGAGAGGGUGAUCGGCCACACUGGGACUGAGACACGGCCCAGACUCCUACGGGAGGCAGCAGUAGGGAAUCUUCGGCAAUGGGGGGAACCCUGACCGAGCAACGCCGCGUGAGUGAAGAAGGUUUUCGGAUCGUAAAGCUCUGUUGUAAGAGAAGAACGAGUGUGAGAGUGGAAAGUUCACACUGUGACGUAUCUUACCAGAAAGGACG
This 491-nucleotide ribosomal RNA is filed under the name Streptococcus intermedius. RNAcentral's name for it is "bacterial SSU rRNA". It matches the Rfam family "Bacterial small subunit ribosomal RNA", at positions 28 to 494 of the family's 1533-position model. Lineage: Bacteria; Bacillati; Bacillota; Bacilli; Lactobacillales; Streptococcaceae. The record is from RNAcentral.